Molecule: non-coding RNA, 225 nt
Filed under: Streptomyces sp.
Lineage: Bacteria; Bacillati; Actinomycetota; Actinomycetes; Kitasatosporales; Streptomycetaceae
Also listed under: 1 other name
Source: RNAcentral
AAGCUGACGCGUGCAGCCGGUUCGCCCCGUCCGCCAGGCGGGGGCGUCGCAAGAGGGAACCCGGUGGGAAUCCGGGACUGCCCCGCAGCGGUGAGCGGGAACGACCGCCGUCAUGAGCACUGGGCCCGAGUACGGAGGGCCUGGGAAGCGACGGCCAGUAGGAGUCUCCCAUGUCAGGGGGACGCGCCCGCGAGUCCGAAGACCUGCCGGCCGCCCGUGCGCGAA